This 168-nucleotide unclassified non-coding RNA is filed under the name uncultured Helotiales. RNAcentral describes it as "sequence contains ITS1". The record is from RNAcentral. Lineage: Eukaryota; Fungi; Ascomycota; Leotiomycetes; Helotiales.
CCGAGUUCAUGCCCUCACGGGUAGAUCUCCCACCCUAUGUUUUAUUACCUUUGUUGCUUUGGCAGGCCGCCAGGCUUCGGCCAGGCUACCGGCUCCGGCUGGUAAGCGCCUGCCAGAGGAUCUUAAAACUCUGAAUAUUAGUGUUGUCUGAGUACUAUAAAAUAGUUA